AUCCUGUUGAAAAUACUUUUAUUUUGAAAAUAUGACGACAUCCUGUUGAAAAUACUUUUAUUUUGAAAAGACGAGGAUAUCCUGUCGCUUAGCUUUUGUGCUUCAAUUCAGUUCGCUAUGUAUAGGAUUUCAGAAAACCAAUUCUGUGUCCAUUAAAUCGACGUUUUACCACCGCGUUAUCCGUUCGUCAUCUAUGAACACGAUUUUCCCGGUUGCUAACUGCUCUCGGUGAAACGGAUAUGAUGGUGAAAUGGCUCCCUCCGGUUCAAAUAUUGAGCAGCAAGCCUUUGACGGUAUUAAUACAUCGCUCGCGAUUGAUCCAGACAGCGCAGCCGCUGGUAAAACAAGAUCCAUCUCCAACAUUUUUUAUGAGAAAUCAAAAUUUUAGAGAGACUUAUCUCUAUUUUAAAAUGGUAAUAUAUGCCAUGAUAGUAACAUAUUACCGAAACAAAUAAUUUAUCAUACAUUUAAACAUGUAUUCAACACUUAUUUAUUAAGCUCAUUGAUCUUAUAAAACACUAUUCACUUAUUUUAAAGAAGUUUAAUUAAUAUAUUGUAAUUACAUAUAUAACACACUGUAUAAAAUAAACAUUUAAUAAAGUUUUAGGUCACAAUAAA
This is a long non-coding RNA of Cyprinus carpio (common carp), 618 nucleotides long. RefSeq lists it as uncharacterized. The record is from RefSeq and is a predicted model, not a curated record. NCBI's taxonomy places the organism in Eukaryota, Metazoa, Chordata, Actinopteri, Cypriniformes, Cyprinidae.